This is a long non-coding RNA of Fukomys damarensis (Damara mole-rat), 779 nucleotides long. RefSeq lists it as uncharacterized. The record is from RefSeq and is a predicted model, not a curated record. Lineage: Eukaryota; Metazoa; Chordata; Mammalia; Rodentia; Bathyergidae. The transcript has 5 exons.
GGGAGCGACCUUUUCCACUACAGUGGCCAUGGCAGUGGUAUACUUUUUUGUGGGCCGCUGUAGAUUGGUGGCGAGGACAGAUAAAAAAACCACAGGUUUUUUUGUUUUCUUACAAAGUUGAUUUUGGAGAAAGUUAGCUAAAACUCGACUGCGGGCCUGGGCGGGGCGGUCUGGUGUUGGAGAUUAUGGCAGGGCCGCAUUUUGCAGAAUGUUGUUAGCUGAGACUCAUGGACCGCUCUUUUUUUCCGGCAGUGCCACCACUGCAGGAGUCUGGUGUCUGCAGAAACCGGCAUCCUAUUUCCCGAGUCCCCAUGAGGAGUCCGAACACCUGAAAAGUUGGAUGGCGGACUCAGUACACAGUAUUGGAGACGGGAGCUGCAUCCCAUCGUGAAGUCGGUUGUAUAUUGGCAGAAGAAACCAGCAGCUUUGUAUUGCAGCCUGGAGUGUUGGCCUUGGAGCAGGGUUUGGGCGUAUUUCUGGAGUGCAGAUUUAGAGCUGGCAGCAGCACAGCCCAGGAGGAGGCUAAGGACCGGAAGCUGCCAUUCAUUCAGUUUGAGAACCUAAAUGACAUUAGCAUUUGGUACAGAAGAAACAAGUUGGGCAUGAUGGCACAGGAUGUAAUCUCAGCAAAAGUUGAAAUCCCAGAAGAAAGAAGCUUAACCCCCGGUAUCAGAGGCCUUUCUUCUCAGCAGAACUGUUGUAUCUGGCAACUUUCUAAGACAGGCACAUUUAGUGUGGUUCACUAACCUGAACAAUAAACAGGAGCUCCUGUGUCUUCA